Scylla paramamosain (green mud crab) is the source of this 5175-nucleotide long non-coding RNA. RefSeq lists it as uncharacterized. The transcript is spliced from 3 exons. NCBI's taxonomy places the organism in Eukaryota, Metazoa, Arthropoda, Malacostraca, Decapoda, Portunidae. The record is from RefSeq and is a predicted model, not a curated record.
CACACACACACACACACACACACACACACACACACACACACACACACACACACACAUACGGUCAUGCUAUUGUUCACUUUCCCGAAACUGGAAGUGGAAUGUGGAUCGAGGCCUGAUUGGUCGAUUGAGUGUGUUGACGUCAGAACACUUCAGCGAAUGGCCGCUGCCACAGCCCGCCGCUUGGCCAGACAGCUGGAUCGCCGCCGUCUGUGCAAGCAGUGGAUUGUUACGCUCACAGCCUGGUGCACUGGUCACUAUCCCGGAAAAACAAGUUGAGUCGUGUUUGAGUUAGUGCUGCUGAGUAUUUUUAAUUCAUUUCCAGUUCCUGGCGCUGGAGAAGUAAACAAGUGUGAAUAUUCAUGAUGGUUGCCUUGUUGAUCGAGUGCAACAUUGCAUUUUUAGCUUCUCUUCCUGCUGGCAGUGUUUCAGACUUUCAGUAGUAGCCUUCCAUCGCCCGUGCAGGAGUGGCGCGCCGCUCUCCCCGGUGUGCAGGCUGUGGUGGUGCCGGUGGUGGUCAUGGACCGGGCGUGGAGGCCUUGUGUGGACCCCGUCUAGUCCCUCACGCAACUUGGUUACCUGUGUUUGGUGCAUAGGUGUGCUCUUCCUCGCUGUGUGGUGUGCUCAGACACACACACACACACACACACACACACACACACACACACACACACACACACACGUGUUUCAAUAAGACUAGUGAUGUUUUUUGUUAUUUCCACCUGUUCAUCUUAGAGGCUGAGGACUGCGGAUGUUUCGUGAUGAUGAUAAGAAAAACAGUCAUCCAGAUUUUCGAGCUUCCGCGCCACGUCAUCGUGGAGAGAAGGAAAAAAAAAAAAAAUCGUUGGUCUUUGUUACAUGUCUAAUGUUGAGGCAGCAGCACAAGCGCUGUGUGUGUGUGUGUGUGUGUGUGUGUGUGUGUGUGUGUGUGUGUGUGUGUGUGUGUGUGUGUGUGUGUGAAGAAACCACCCGUUCGUACCUACAGCAAACCACGUGUGUCGGUUAGUAAUUUUCACGGGUUGAGACCAAAUGGCUGUGAGAUAUGGUAGACUUCGCUGCGUGGCUGGUGAGCUGCCGUGACGCAACCACUGUCGCGUGUACCAGCGUUCUGCUUUGGGUGGCAGGCCCCUCCCUACCCCGCCUGGCUUUAGCCGCUCCACCCUCGUCGUGCCGGGCUGCAGAGCUCCUGUAGUGUUCGGAACGGCUUGCCGGCAUUGCGAUGGAUACUUGGCAUAGGAAGGUAGUGAGAGAAAGAAGACAAGUGGAAGAGCUAGGCAGCAAGAGCGUCUCGCCGGUGUCUGCAGCAAGUGGUGGGGGCGGGAUGGACGGGUAGCGCGGCCCCAGGCAGUGAUCGUGACUUCCGGGCCGGCGGGCUUCCGUCGCCGCCCACUAUUGGGGCCCCUCGGGGAAGGGGCACCUCACUGUUGGGGCUCCGACGCUUCCGCAGCCCCCAGGAUCCCCGACCCAUGUCUGGCCUUUGCUGUCCUGCUUCACGCAGGUCCUAGGGGGCGGCGCGGUAGUGAAGGUUCAGAGAAAGGCUUGCAGAUCAAUGAUUCCCGAGCGUGCAGGUUGAGUAACGGCCCCACACACCCUCCUCAUGGCGAUAUGGUCGUCUACACCAUUUUUAUAAUUCCUUCCUGCCGCUCCUUAUCCUCCUCCUCCUCCGCCAUCACAUACCGGUGGAAGAUGAAUACUGAAGAUAAUGCCAUAAUAAUUUCCUUUCUUUAAUUAUCUCAGUUCACCUGCCUUCUGUGUAUCCUCCUGCUCCUCCUCCUCUUUACCUUCUUUCUUUUGGCAAUACUUAAAACGUUUGUGUGAAUACUAUGUAAAAAAAAUGUAUUGUUAGAAGUGCUGGUGAAUUAUUUAAUUUUGUGUCAUAAGAGUCAAGUCACGUGUUUUAGCACUUAGUGGAGCAGCCUGUGCUACAGUACGUGGCUGUUGUGAAAAUGACAACGCCACUCACUACAGCUCAGCAAAAAUAACGUACCACCUUACGACUGCUCGUGGUGGUAUGUCGGUUUCCUUAAUGAUCCAAGUCACGCAAAGUGUGUGGGUGAAAACUCACGUUAUAGAAGAGGAGGCGAGACAGGCCGGCAGUGGACCAGGUGGAUGCAGGCAGACGUCCACAUAUCCUUGGCACUGGAAGAAUUCACAGAUAGUUAUGAGGUCGUGGAUUCCACAGUGCCAAAGAUGGAAGGACAGAACACCUUCGAUGGAAGUCACCGUCACAAGCACUCCCACUACGCCCGCCAUUGCUGCCAUCACCGCCAUCAUCAGCAGUAUAUGACCUUGCCGCCGCCACCUUCACUUUUAACAGGAAACGUAUACAGUCCCUUUGGAAUCCUUCAUUAGUUCUAACACUAAACCAGCCGCUGCCACAGUCGCCUCAUAAUAUUAAAAAUACACACAUUAUUACAAAUCAAUGUAAUUUGAUAAUCCAUAGGUAUUUAUAGAAUUCUUGAGGCCAAUACAUUGAAGCAUGAAAUAACUCCCAUCUCGCAGCCUUUGGCUAACAAUGAUUACGUCAGCUGGCACUGCUAUGCUGUGUUUCUAGGAGUGUGUGCAAUACAUAUAUGAUGGACAUUACUGUGAUCGAUCACAGUGUAUCACUUGAUGAGAUUAUCAAGCAGAGAAGAAUCUAUGGAAAGGGUUUAUACUAUGGCUUUGUUGAAAAUUUUUGUAGUUUAAGCUUAAAAAUUGACAUGUCACUGAGAAUAUGUGAGCUGACACAUCACUAGGAAUGUGGGGAACUAAAGUGUUUUGUAGCUUGUAUGUUACUAUUCACACUGCAUUGUCUAGAUUCCCGGACACGUGGCGCCAUUAGCAUAUUAGCACAUUGCAAAUAAAUCAAUAUAUAGUGGCGAGGCGUGCCUGGUGAAAAAUUGGAGGCGCAUGUGUAAGGAUGCCACAUGUUGCUUUAAGUACUGGCAUGUUAAUGAGUCUUAACUUAUUGUAUUUUUUCCAUUUCUUUGAUGUUGACUCAUGAAAGUAUGAAUUACUGCAGAAAUAGCGUGUCACACGUAAUCUUGAGGCCUUGCUAUUACAGGGACAUCGGAGCACAAUGCCUGGCUGACUGAGGAAGCGACAGAUAGGCUUCUAAAAUAUUAUGAUAAUAAAAAAAAGUGUUACAACAAGUAAUCCCAUUAUUAACAGCACCUUAACAUACUUCAGACUUAGGCAGUGUACGAUGUAGCACGUAAUUUUAGAGUGUUAGAUGGUGAUUUUAGCCAGAAAUAUAGUAAAACUCAGCUGAUAAGGCUUUUCAAUAAUGUAAUUUGGUUACAUGUUUAUUAUGGUUCAUUUGUGAAGCUUCACAUAUCCUAUUUUCAUGGUAAAUCCUAAUUAUGUGAGGAGAAUAUUGAAACGAGUUCGCUGGUCUCAUUUUCUGAAAUGGUUUAAAAAAUGAAGCAUGUCGAUAGUUUAGGUAAUAUUGCAUUGUAUUACUUUCUACGUUAUCCAACUAUUCUUAAUGAAAGUUUGUAGUAUUAAUAUUAUAGUUACACAUUCCAACUUUUAAUUAUAUGAACUGAUGUCUGUGUGGUGUACCUCCGUAAAUGUUUUAAGAUUGUACGAAACUCUUUCCUCUUUGGCAGAUAAUUCCAAUUAUUAUCCCAUCUUCUCACUACUCAUCUGUUCCUUUUCCGAAACAUGUCUGGUUACUUGUAUAUGUGUUAAUGAAUGGUAAUGAUUAAAUAUUAAACAUAAUAUAAUUGUUUCAUGUUAUUUUCCCUUUGUUGCUCGGGAUGGUUCAUUCUCAGUAGAUGGGUCGGAGUCUCGGACGUCGCGCCGAUUGGUAGCCCCACUGAGCAGACACACGGUGGAAUGGCAGAAGCCUAUUCUUGUUCUCUUUUGUAUUAGUGUUGACACGUUUCUUUGCGCCUCUUCAUCGACACAGCAUGGCCAGAGCGUCAAGGUCGUCAUUAGUUACCCCAUAAAGUUAAGUGGAAAUGGGGGAAGCAGUAAUGAGUGUGGCUGUCAUGGAGUCUCGGAGAGUGAUUCCAUGUGUCCUUCUGCUGCACGUAACACCCAGGCGCUGUGAUAUUAACUGAUUGAGAUCGUUGUAAAGGCUCUGUAUGAUCAGACUCCCUGUACUGCUCCCUCAAGGCGGUGUUCUACCUGUCUGCUACUGGCACAAUGUCACCACCAAUAGGAACAGAACAACACGGCAGCAGAGGACAACGAACCACGAGGAAUUGGAUUUUCAGAAAUUAAGAUGUGGUGCCUAGAUGGUUACACUAUGCACUCCAGUCGUGAAGUGUCCCAAAGUGUCCCACUUCUUCUUCUACUACUACUACUACUACUACUACUACUAAUAAUAAUAAUAAUAAUAAUACCUCUACUACUGGUACAAACAUGUUGUUGUUGUUGCCAACGAUAUGCCUGGGUUAAAUGGGUGGUGCGUGUGGCGGCAUCCCGGUGGUGCUGCUGAGGUGAGAUCAUCAAGAAUUCAGAAUGCACACGGAGUUGCAGACACUUAUAUUGAUGAACGUAGGAUGGAGUGGGAAUUUCCAUCAGGCAACCAUGAUUAUUAUGCCGUCCAGGGUUCAGGUGGAACGGGAAGCACUAAUGAAGGAUGAUAGGUAGAGUGUUCCUUUUAGAACUUACUUAUUUAUGCAUUGGUUGUAUUUGCUGCUCAUUUAUUUCUUUAUUUCUUUAAUUGAUUAAUUUAUGAAUUCAUCAGUUGAUAUAUUCAUUUUGUAAUUUGAGCUAUUUGUUGACUAAAGGACUGUGAAUGUGAUCGUUGUCUGUAGUGCUGCUGCAUUCCAGACGAAAACCAUGGCUAUAAUGUGUGUAGAUCUCAGAGUUGUUGCACCUUUAUUUAUAUCUCAACUCAAAUCAGGUGGACCGUAUGUAUAUAAUUCUGAUCCAUUACUCUUUUUUUCGCUGAAUAUUUAUUAGUUAAAGACAUAGACGAUAUUGUGCAUUAUGUGGUGGUGUUAAUGUGGCCUUGGGUAGUGCAGCACCGGCCAUGUGAGGAUGAACUUGGAGCUCAGCGGCCCGUAGUGAAGCCCUGUCAUCUGGAAGACUGCUUCAUUAAUAGUGACUGGUACUGAAGAAAGAUUUGGUGAAUUAGUGACAACAUAUAGAUAGGAUAUAAACAUAUAUUUAUUACAAAAUACACAGUUGCACAGUUUAUUUGUAAAUAUUUGUAUAGUAAUAUCAGAGUUUAUCUUAAAA